This 72-nucleotide transfer RNA is filed under the name Flavobacteriaceae bacterium. Its description in RNAcentral is "tRNA-Thr". It matches the Rfam family "tRNA". From Rfam's summary of the family: Transfer RNA (tRNA) molecules are approximately 80 nucleotides in length. Their secondary structure includes four short double-helical elements and three loops (D, anti-codon, and T loops). RNAcentral also lists the same sequence under 1 other name. Lineage: Bacteria; Pseudomonadati; Bacteroidota; Flavobacteriia; Flavobacteriales; Flavobacteriaceae. The record is from RNAcentral.
CGAUGUAGCUCAGCUGGCUAGAGCAGCUGAUUUGUAAUCAGCAGGUCGUGGGUUCGAGUCCCUCCAUCGGCU